This 254-nucleotide ribosomal RNA is filed under the name uncultured bacterium. RNAcentral's name for it is "partial 16S ribosomal RNA". It matches the Rfam family "Bacterial small subunit ribosomal RNA", at positions 524 to 776 of the family's 1533-position model. The record is from RNAcentral.
UACGGGGGGAGCAAGCGUUGUUCGGAUUUACUGGGCGUAAAGGGCGCGUAGGCGGCCACUGCAAGUCGGUUGUGAAAUCUCCGGGCUUAACCCGGAAAGGUCAAUCGAUACUGCAGGGCUAGAGUGCAGAAGGGGCAACUGGAAUUUGUAGUGUAGCAGUGAAAUGCGUAGAUAUUACAAGGAACACCAAUGGCGAAGGCAGCUUGCUGGGCUACUCCUGACACUGAGGUACGAAAGCGUGGGGAGCGAACAGG